RNAcentral lists this ribosomal RNA (1333 nucleotides) under uncultured bacterium. RNAcentral describes it as "bacterial SSU rRNA". It matches the Rfam family "Bacterial small subunit ribosomal RNA", at positions 37 to 1387 of the family's 1533-position model. The record is from RNAcentral.
UGGCGGCGCGCCUAACACAUGCAAGUCGAACGGAGCUUAGAGAGCUUGCUUUUUAAGCUUAGUGGCGAACGGGUGAGUAACGCGUGAGUAACCUGCCCUAGAGUGGGGGACAACAGUUGGAAACGACUGCUAAUACCGCAUAAAGCCCACGGUACCGCAUGGUACUGAGGGAAAAGGAUUUAUUCGCUUUAGGAUGGACUCGCGUCCAAUUAGCUAGUUGGUGAGGUAACGGCCCACCAAGGCGACGAUUGGUAGCCGGACUGAGAGGUUGAACGGCCACAUUGGGACUGAGACACGGCCCAGACUCCUACGGGAGGCAGCAGUGGGGGAUAUUGCACAAUGGGGGAAACCCUGAUGCAGCGACGCCGCGUGGAGGAAGAAGGUUUUCGGAUUGUAAACUCCUGUCGUUAGGGACGAUAAUGACGGUACCUAACAAGAAAGCACCGGCUAACUACGUGCCAGCAGCCGCGGUAAAACGUAGGGUGCAAGCGUUGUCCGGAAUUACUGGGUGUAAAGGGAGCGCAGGCGGGAAGACAAGUUGGAAGUGAAAACCAUGGGCUCAACCCAUGAAUUGCUUUCAAAACUGUUUUUCUUGAGUAGUGCAGAGGUAGAUGGAAUUCCCGGUGUAGCGGUGGAAUGCGUAGAUAUCGGGAGGAACACCAGUGGCGAAGGCGGUCUACUGGGCACCAACUGACGCUGAGGCUCGAAAGCAUGGGUAGCAAACAGGAUUAGAUACCCUGGUAGUCCAUGCCGUAAACGAUGAUUACUAGGGUGUUGGGGGAUUGACCCCCUCAGUGCCGCAGUUAACACAAUAAGUAAUCCACCUGGGGAGUACGACCGCAAGGUUGAAACUCAAAGGAAUUGACGGGGGCCCGCACAAGCAGUGGAGUAUGUGGUUUAAUUCGAAGCAACGCGAAGAACCUUACCAGGUCUUGACAUCCGAUGCAUAGCACAGAGAUGUGUGAAAUCCUUCGGGACAUCGAGACAGGUGGUGCAUGGUUGUCGUCAGCUCGUGUCGUGAGAUGUUGGGUUAAGUCCCGCAACGAGCGCAACCCUUAUUGCCAGUUACUACGUUAAGAGGACUCUGGCGAGACUGCCGUUGACAAAACGGAGGAAGGUGGGGAUGACGUCAAAUCAUCAUGCCCUUUAUGACCUGGGCUACACACGUACUACAAUGGCGUUAAACAAAGAGAAGCAAGACCGCGAGGUGGAGCAAAACUCAAAAACAACGUCUCAGUUCAGAUUGCAGGCUGCAACUCGCCUGCAUGAAGUCGGAAUUGCUAGUAAUCGCGGAUCAGCAUGCCGCGGUGAAUACGUUCCCGGGCCUUGUACU